RNAcentral lists this small RNA (132 nucleotides) under Blautia hydrogenotrophica. RNAcentral's name for it is "Clostridiales-1 RNA". It matches the Rfam family "Clostridiales-1 RNA", at positions 25 to 159 of the family's 166-position model. The record is from RNAcentral. Lineage: Bacteria; Bacillati; Bacillota; Clostridia; Lachnospirales; Lachnospiraceae.
GAGGCCGGCAAGCUUGCUUGCCAGGACGCCCAGACAUUGGCCGGGGCAACAGGUAUGAGCACGCAGGCGAAUGUGCGGGAGUGCGAAUACCUGUCAGGAUUGCGGGAGUGCGAUGCACGGAGCAAUCUGUAG